Molecule: ribosomal RNA, 505 nt
Filed under: uncultured bacterium
Lineage: Bacteria
Description: bacterial SSU rRNA
Rfam family: Bacterial small subunit ribosomal RNA
Source: RNAcentral
GAUCAUGGCUCAGGAUGAACGCUAGCUACAGGCUUAACACAUGCAAGUCGAGGGGAAACGACAUCGAAAGCUUGCUUUUGAUGGGCGUCGACCGGCGCACGGGUGAGUAACGCGUAUCCAACCUGCCCACCACUUGGGGAUAACCUUGCGAAAGUAAGACUAAUACCCAAUGAUAUCCCACGAAGGCAUCCGAAUGGGAUUAAAGAUUUAUCGGUGAUGGAUGGGGAUGCGUCUGAUUAGCUUGUUGGCGGGGUAACGGCCCACCAAGGCUACGAUCAGUAGGGGUUCUGAGAGGAAGGUCCCCCACAUUGGAACUGAGACACGGUCCAAACUCCUACGGGAGGCAGCAGUGAGGAAUAUUGGUCAAUGGGCGAGAGCCUGAACCAGCCAAGUAGCGUGCAGGAAGACGGCCCUAUGGGUUGUAAACUGCUUUUAUAGGGGAAUAAAGUGAGCCACGUGUGGCUUUUUGCAUGUACCCUAUGAAUAAGGACCGGCUAAUUCCGUG